ACUUUUCAGCCGGGGGAGGAAGGCGUUGAGGCUCAUUAAUCCUUCAGCGAUUUGACGUUACGCAGCAGAAGAAGCACCGGCUAACUCCGUGCAGCAGCGCGGUAAUACGGAGGGUGCAAGCGUUAAUCGGAAUUACUGGGCGUAAAGCGCACGCAGGCGGUCUGUCAAGUCGGAUGUGAAAUCCCCGGGCUCAACCUGGGAACUGCAUUCGAAACUGGCAGGCUAGAGUCUUGUAGAGGGGGGUAGAAUUCCAGGUGUAGCGGUGAAAUGCGUAGAGAUCUGGAGGAAUACCGGUGGCGAAGGCGGCCCCCUGGACAAAGACUGACGCUCAGGUGCGAAAGCGUGGGGAGCAAACAGGAUUAGAUACCCUGGUAGUCCACGCCGUAAACGAUGUCGACUUGGAGGUUGUGCCCUUGAGGCGUGGCUUCCGGAGCUAACGCGUUAAGUCGACCGCCUGGGGAGUACGGCCGCAAGGUUAAAACUCAAAUGAAUUGACGGGGGCCCGCACAAGCGGUGGAGCAUGUGGUUUAAUUCGAUGCAACGCGAAGAACCUUACCUACUCUUGACAUCCAGAGAACUUUCCAGAGAUGGAUUGGUGCCUUCGGGAACUCUGAGACAGGUGCUGCAUGGCUGUCGUCAGCUCGUGUUGUGAAAUGUUGGGUUAAGUCCCGCAACGAGCGCAACCCUUAUCCUUUGUUGCCAGCGGUUCGGCCGGGAACUCAAAGGAGACUGCCAGUGAUAAACUGGAGGAAGGUGGGGAUGACGUCAAGUCAUCAUGGCCCUUACGAGUAGGGCUACACACGUGCUACAAUGGCGCAUACAAAGAGAAGCGACCUCGCGAGAGCAAGCGGACCUCAUAAAGUGCGUCGUAGUCCGGAUUGGAGUCUGCAACUCGACUCCAUGAAGUCGGAAUCGCUAGUAAUCGUAGAUCAGAAUGCUACGGUGAAUACGUUCCCGGGCCUUGUACACACCGCCCGUCACACCAUGGGAGUGGGUUGCAAAAGAAGUAGGUAGCUUAACCUUCGGGAGGGCGCUUUCCACAGUGGUUUCCGAGGGGUC
This 1059-nucleotide ribosomal RNA is filed under the name Enterobacter sp. BN-17. RNAcentral describes it as "bacterial SSU rRNA". It matches the Rfam family "Bacterial small subunit ribosomal RNA", at positions 431 to 1482 of the family's 1533-position model. Lineage: Bacteria; Pseudomonadati; Pseudomonadota; Gammaproteobacteria; Enterobacterales; Enterobacteriaceae. The record is from RNAcentral.